Molecule: ribosomal RNA, 497 nt
Filed under: uncultured bacterium
Lineage: Bacteria
Description: partial 16S ribosomal RNA
Rfam family: Bacterial small subunit ribosomal RNA
Source: RNAcentral
GAUGAACGCUGGUGGCGUGCCUAAUACAUGCAAGUCGAGCGAACGGACGAGAAGCUUGCUUCUCUGUUGUUUGCGGCGGACGGGUGAGUAACACGUGGAUAACCUACCUAUAAGACUGGGAUAACUUCGGGAAACCGGAGCUAAUACCGGAUAAUAUUUUGAACCGCAUGGUUCAAAAGUGAAAGACGGUCUUGCUGUCACUUAUAGAUGGAUCCGCGCUGCAUUAGCUAGUUGGUAAGGUAACGGCUUACCAAGGCAACGAUGCAUAGCCGACCUGAGAGGGUGAUCGGCCACACUGGAACUGAGACACGGUCCAGACUCCUACGGGAGGCAGCAGUAGGGAAUCUUCCGCAAUGGGCGAAAGCCUGACGGAGCAACGCCGCGUGAGUGAUGAAGGUCUUCGGAUCGUAAAACUCUGUUAUUAGGGAAGAACAUAUGUGUAAGUAACUGUGCACAUCUUGACGGUACCUAAUCAGAAAGCCACGGCUAACUACGUG